GAUGAACGCUGGCGGCGUGCCUAAUACAUGCAAGUCGAGCGAACAGACGAGGAGCUUGCUCCUCUGACGUUAGCGGCGGACGGGUGAGUAACACGUGGAUAACCUACCUAUAAGACUGGGAUAACUUCGGGAAACCGGAGCUAAUACCGGAUAAUAUAUUGAACCUCAUGGUUCUAUAGUGAACGACGGUUUUGCUGUCACUUAUACAUGGAUCCGCGCCGCAUUAGCUAGUUGGUAAGGUAACGGCUUACCAAGGCGACGAUGCGUAGCCGACCUGAGAGGGUGAUCGGCCACACUGGAACUGAGACACGGUCCAGACUCCUACGGGAGGCAGCAGUAGGGAAUCUUCCGCAAUGGGCGAAAGCCUGACGGAGCAACGCCGCGUGAGUGAUGAAGGUCUUCGGAUCGUAAAACUCUGUUAUUAGGGAAGAACAAAUGUGUAAGUAACUAUUCACGUCUUGACGGUACCUAAUCAGAAAGCCACGGCUAACUACGUG
RNAcentral lists this ribosomal RNA (497 nucleotides) under uncultured bacterium. Its description in RNAcentral is "partial 16S ribosomal RNA". It matches the Rfam family "Bacterial small subunit ribosomal RNA", at positions 28 to 507 of the family's 1533-position model. The record is from RNAcentral.